UGGGGAAUAUUGGACAAUGGGCGCAAGCCUGAUCCAGCCAUGCCGCGUGAGUGAUGAAGGCCCUAGGGUUGUAAAGCUCUUUCACCGGUGAAGAUAAUGACGGUAACCGGAGAAGAAGCCCCGGCUAACUUCGUGCCAGCAGCCGCGGUAAUACGAAGGGGGCUAGCGUUGUUCGGAUUUACUGGGCGUAAAGCGCACGUAGGCGGACUAUUAAGUCAGGGGUGAAAUCCCGGGGCUCAACCCCGGAACUGCCUUUGAUACUGGUAGUCUUGAGUUCGAGAGAGGUGAGUGGAAUUCCGAGUGUAGAGGUGAAAGUCGGAGAUAUUCGGAGGAACACCAGUGGCGAAGGCGGCUCACUGGCUCGAUACUGACGCUGAGGUGCGAAAGCGUGGGGAGCAAACAGG
This 404-nucleotide ribosomal RNA is filed under the name Actinomycetes bacterium. RNAcentral describes it as "Actinobacteria bacterium partial 16S ribosomal RNA". It matches the Rfam family "Bacterial small subunit ribosomal RNA", at positions 355 to 776 of the family's 1533-position model. The record is from RNAcentral. Lineage: Bacteria; Bacillati; Actinomycetota; Actinomycetes.